Molecule: ribosomal RNA, 405 nt
Filed under: uncultured Acidimicrobiales bacterium
Lineage: Bacteria; Bacillati; Actinomycetota; Acidimicrobiia; Acidimicrobiales
Description: bacterial SSU rRNA
Rfam family: Bacterial small subunit ribosomal RNA
Source: RNAcentral
UGGGGAAUCUUGCGCAAUGGGCGAAAGCCUGACGCAGCAACGCCGCGUGCGGGAAGAAGGCCUUCGGGUUGUAAACCGCUUUCAGAAGGAACGAAACUGACGGUACUUUCAGAAGAAGGUGCGGCCAACUACGUGCCAGCAGCCGCGGUGACACGUAGGCACCAAGCGUUGUCCGGAUUUAUUGGGCGUAAAGAGCUCGUAGGCGGUUCGGUAAGUCGGGUGUGAAAACUUUGGGCUCAACCCAAAGCGUGCACUCGAUACUGCCGUGACUAGAGUUCGGUAGGGGAGUGGGGAAUUCCUAGUGUAGCGGUGAAAUGCGCAGAUAUUAGGAGGAACACCGGUGGCGAAGGCGCCACUCUGGGCCGAAACUGACGCUGAGGAGCGAAAGCGUGGGUAGCAAACAGG